RNAcentral lists this transfer RNA (72 nucleotides) under Camelus ferus (Wild Bactrian camel). It matches the Rfam family "tRNA". Rfam says of the family: Transfer RNA (tRNA) molecules are approximately 80 nucleotides in length. Their secondary structure includes four short double-helical elements and three loops (D, anti-codon, and T loops). Further hydrogen bonds mediate the characteristic L-shaped molecular structure. tRNAs have two regions of fundamental functional importance: the anti-codon, which is responsible for specific mRNA codon recognition, and the 3' end, to which the tRNAs corresponding amino acid is attached (by aminoacyl-tRNA synthetases). tRNAs cope with the degeneracy of the genetic code in two manners: having more than one tRNA (with a specific anti-codon) for a particular amino acid; and 'wobble' base-pairing, i.e. permitting non-standard base-pairing at the 3rd anti-codon position. The record is from Rfam by way of RNAcentral. Lineage: Eukaryota; Metazoa; Chordata; Mammalia; Artiodactyla; Camelidae.
GGAGGUAUAGUUCAGUGGUAGAACACGUGCUUAGCAUGCAUGAGGUCCUGGGUUCAAUCCCCAGUACCUCCA